Strongylocentrotus purpuratus (purple sea urchin) is the source of this 936-nucleotide long non-coding RNA. RefSeq lists it as uncharacterized. The record is from RefSeq and is a predicted model, not a curated record. NCBI's taxonomy places the organism in Eukaryota, Metazoa, Echinodermata, Echinoidea, Camarodonta, Strongylocentrotidae. The transcript has 2 exons.
AACAUAGUUUUCAAACUACCAAGGAGAGGUAACCAGGAACCAAGGUAUAAUACAAUGAUGCAAUUUUACCCAUGUUGUAGUAGUACAUGGUAGUAGUACAUGGUAGUAGUAACUAUGGAUAUCCCGCCUCUUCUUUUAUGCACAUCCUUUCCACUGCUAUCGCAAGUUUUAAAAAAAGGGCCCAAUGUCUGCAUAACUAAGCAAGGUAGGAGUUCAUUAAAAACAUGAUGUAAAACAUUAAGUAUAUCACACCAAAGCAUCUCAAUCUGACAGCACGAUGUGGAGAAAAGUUAAUGGUGUAGAUAAAUACUCAAGAAAUAAGUUCAUCGGCAGUCUAAGUCAAUCAUUUAUAAAACUGAGGCUUUGCCAAGGCAUCCAUUUUAAGUAUGUGUCUAUAGGGCAAAUAAGAUGUAGUCAAGUACUCAAGUUACCACCUGUCAGCCAAGAUCAAACUUUUGGAAUAUAAGAGUUUUGGGGAGGGGUCAUCUUUUAUCAAUUUCUGUUUAUUGAUAAUAAUUAUAACAUUUGGGAAUGGGCCUAUGAGUCUGAUAUACCUUGGUGCGUGUGUGGACCACGGAGUAACCAUCACACUUAAGGAUGUUAUAUACUAUUGUACAGUAUUAUUGUUUCUCUGGAAAAAAUUACAAUCAUUGAGUCAUAGGUAUUUUUUUUUUUUUUUAAAGAAAUCAGCAUGUUUUUAUAAUGUGUUUUAUAAUAAGGGUGCAGGUCAUGAUACAAUACAUUCCCUGGAGAAAAAAACAGUGCUCAGAUUUAGCCUAAGUAUGCUUUGUUGAAUUUUUAAAGAAAAAAGUAAUCUACAAAUGGAAGUAGCAGAUGAGGUCAUUUGUGCUUAAUAUUUGACCAUCAAUGUUAUAAUCUGUAAACAUAUUAGUUUGUUGUAAUAAAAUGAAUAAAUUAAACAUGUUUAUUAUCUUA